GAUACGUGCUUCACAUUCCUUCCCUCAAAACAAAAUUGAUUGGCCUUGACCUGGGGCCACACCAGGGAGAAGGCACCCUCUGGGGCAAGGGUGCCUUCCAGUGCCUGGCUGAAGGCAGUCACCACAUGGUCCAGGAAGCCUGAGGAAUGAGAGGUAUGUGGGAGUCCAAAGGGCUGGGCUCUGUCCUGGCUCUCAUCACCCAAGGGCAUCUGCAAGUUGAGAUGAGAUCCAGGAAGAUGCAGUUCAAUCUCAGGGAAUUCCAAAGAUGCCUGAAAUCUAUCACCUCUCCAUUCCUUGAAUUAUCUAUGCUGACUGGAGGUCCUAUAAUCACUGUCCUCCAUAUCACCGUGAAGCUUAACUCU
This is a long non-coding RNA of Onychomys torridus (southern grasshopper mouse), 362 nucleotides long. RefSeq lists it as uncharacterized. Lineage: Eukaryota; Metazoa; Chordata; Mammalia; Rodentia; Cricetidae. The record is from RefSeq and is a predicted model, not a curated record. The transcript is spliced from 3 exons.